AAUUCCCGGAGUAGCGGUGAAUGCGUAGAUAUCGGGAGGAACACCAGUGGCGAAGGCGGCCUCCUGGGCUGCUCCUGACGCUGAAGGCGAAAGCUAGGGGAGCGAACGGGAUUAGAAACCCCGGUAGUCCUAGCCGUAAACGAUGGAUGCUAGGUGUGGGGGNUGUAGAUUCCCUCCGUGCCGCAGUUAACGCGUUAAGCAUCCCGCCUGGGGAGUACGGCCGCAAGGCUAAAACUCAAACGAAUUGACGGGGGCCCGCACAAGCAGCGGAGCGUGUGGUUUAAUUCGAUGCUACACGAAGAACCUUACCUGGGCUUGACAUACAGGUAGUAGUGAAGUGAAAGCGGAUCGAUCCUUCGGGGAGCCUGUACAGGUGCUGCAUGGCUGUCGUCAGCUCGUGCCGUGAGGUGUCGGGUUAAGUCCCGUAACGAGCGCAACCCUUGCUCUUAGUUAUACGUGUCUAAGAGGACUGCCGGCGGUAAGCCGGAGGAAGGUGGGGAUGACGCCAAGUCAGCAUGGCCUUUAUGUCCAGGGCUACACACACGCUACAAUGGCCGGUACAAUGGGUAGCUAAACCGCGAGGUGGAGCCAAUCCUGUAAAGCCGGUCUCAGUUCGAAUUGCAGGCUGCAACUCGCCUGCAUGAAGUCGGAGUUGCUAGUAAUCGCAGGUCAGCAAUACUGCGGUGAAUACGUUCCCGGGCCUUGUACACACCGCCCGUCACGUCAUGGAAGCUGGCAACACCUGAAGCCGGUGAGCUAACCCGAAAGGGGGCAACUGUCGAAGGUGAGGCUGGUGACUGGGACGAAGUCG
This 811-nucleotide ribosomal RNA is filed under the name uncultured organism. RNAcentral's name for it is "bacterial SSU rRNA". It matches the Rfam family "Bacterial small subunit ribosomal RNA", at positions 665 to 1488 of the family's 1533-position model. The record is from RNAcentral.